UACGAGGGGGGCAAGCGUUGUUCGGAAUUACUGGGCGUAAAGGGCGCUUAGGCGGCCCUCUCAGUCAGACGUGAAAUCCCUCGGCUCAACCGUGGAACUGCGUCUGAUACUGGAGGGCUUGAAUCCGGGAGAGGGAUGUGGAAUUCCAGGUGUAGCGGUGAAAUUCGUAGAUAUCAGGAGGAAUACCGAUGGCGAAGGCAGGUCUCUGGGCUGACACUGACGCUCAUGCACGAAAGCGUGGGGAACAAACAGG
Molecule: ribosomal RNA, 253 nt
Filed under: uncultured bacterium
Lineage: Bacteria
Description: partial 16S ribosomal RNA
Rfam family: Bacterial small subunit ribosomal RNA
Source: RNAcentral